GUGAGUUAUUUGCAACAAAAUCUAAACUAUUCAGGGGAUAAAGCCCUAUAUUUAAAAUAUCAACUCAGGUAUUGGAGCCCUAAUAUUGGCGGAAAGACGACUAGGGAAUAGAGGUUCUGUGUCUAAACAGCUCAACUCAGGGAUUGGAGCCCUAAUGUUGGCAAAAUGCGACUAGGGAAUGGAGGUCCUAUGUAUAAAAAGUUCAACUCAGGGAUUGAAGCCCUAAUGUAGGCAAAAGGCGACUAGGGAAUGGAGGCCCUAUGUCUCAAAAGAUCAACUCGGGGAUUGGAGCCCAAAUGUUGGCAAAAAGGCGACUAGGGAAUGGAGGCCCUAUGUCUAAAAAGUCUCAACUCAGGGAUUAGAGCCCUAAUGUUGGUAAAAGGUGACUAGGGAAUGGAGGCCCUAUGUCUAAAAAGCUCAACUUAGGGAUUGGAGCCCUAAUGUUGGCAAAAGGCGACUUGGGAAUGGAGGCCCUAUGUCUAAAAAGCUCAA
Molecule: long non-coding RNA, 492 nt
Filed under: Nicotiana tabacum (common tobacco)
Lineage: Eukaryota; Viridiplantae; Streptophyta; Magnoliopsida; Solanales; Solanaceae
Description: long non-coding RNA (NTAB_LNC017954)
Source: RNAcentral